Molecule: ribosomal RNA, 253 nt
Filed under: uncultured bacterium
Lineage: Bacteria
Description: partial 16S ribosomal RNA
Rfam family: Bacterial small subunit ribosomal RNA
Source: RNAcentral
GACGUAGGGCGCGAGCGUUGUCCGGAUUUAUUGGGCGUAAAGGGCGCGUAGGCGGCGGGGUAAGUCGGGUGUGGAAUCUCAGAGCUCAACUCUGAAACUGCACUCGAUACUGCUCUGCUUGAGGACUGGAGAGGAGACUGGAAUUCACGGUGUAGCAGUGAAAUGUGUAGAGAUCAUGAGGAAGACCAGUGGCGAAGGCGGGUCUCUGGACAGUUCCUGACACUGAGGCACGAAGGCCAGGGGAGCAAACGGG